RNAcentral lists this small nuclear RNA (326 nucleotides) under Callithrix jacchus (white-tufted-ear marmoset). RNAcentral describes it as "7SK RNA". It matches the Rfam family "7SK RNA". From Rfam's summary of the family: 7SK was discovered as an abundant small nuclear RNA in the mid-70s but a possible function has only recently been suggested. Two independent studies have found that 7SK RNA binds the CDK9/cyclin T complex (known as elongation factor P-TEFb). P-TEFb activates transcription by phosphorylating the C-terminal domain of RNA polymerase II. Lineage: Eukaryota; Metazoa; Chordata; Mammalia; Primates; Cebidae. The record is from Rfam by way of RNAcentral.
GGAUGUGGGGGCGAUCUGGCUGUGACAUCAGUCACCCCAUUGACCCCAGGGUUGAUUCAGCUGGUCUGGAUGGCUAGGCAGGUGUCCCCUUCCUCCCCCACAACUCCAUGUACAUUCUUCCCAAAGCUUCGUGCUCGGUUGAAGAGGAUGACCUUCCCCAGUAGAGGAGGGCCAGUCUUCAGUCACGGGUACAGGAGUGGCUGCACACCCCUGCUAGACCCUCCAAACAAGCUCCCAAAAGGACAUGUGCAAAAUGAAGAAACAUGCAUAUGACCAGUCAUCAGAGAAACACAAGCUGAAACACUGUGAUAUCACUUUACACACUU